RNAcentral lists this non-coding RNA (30 nucleotides) under Mus musculus (house mouse). The record is from RNAcentral. Lineage: Eukaryota; Metazoa; Chordata; Mammalia; Rodentia; Muridae. RNAcentral also lists the same sequence under 1 other name.
UCCGUAGGUGAACCUGCGGACGGAUCAUUA